AUUUGGACUCUAGAUGGGAUCUGUAGAUUGAUGAAGGCUAUCUGGAGCUGUUAAGUUAUCCUGCAGUGCUCUGACUUUUGUCCUAACGUUCUUUCAGAUGCAGCCAGAUGGAAUCCGUGGCAGAGGGCCCCGUCCCGGGUGAGGGGGGUCCCCCGAGAAGGAACUAAAGCCAGAUACUAGCAGUCAAGGCGGUCCGCUCGUAUUACGCCGAGACCCCCCUCAGCAACGGGGCCGCAGACCCCCGCUUGGUCACUCUCGUGGGAAUUUGGGAAGCAGCGCACGGAUCUGUGAUGAAGCCUUGAUCUUUGACAUUUGAAGGUGUCACCCGGGGAGCCUUCAGGAGCGGCCGAGGAGUUGCUGUAAGUCGGGGAGCUAGGGAGGAGGAGCCAGGGUCCACUGGAGUUUCAGCGAUGCCACGUCACCUCGUCUCCUCUUCACCCAGGCAGACCCUGCCGCGAGGGCAUCGGCCUCCGGGCGCGGCCAGAUGAGGCG
Molecule: long non-coding RNA, 492 nt
Organism: Vidua chalybeata
Lineage: Eukaryota; Metazoa; Chordata; Aves; Passeriformes; Viduidae
Exons: 3
Source: RefSeq, a predicted model, not a curated record